GAUGAACGCUGGCGGCGUGCCUAAUACAUGCAAGUCGAGCGAACGGACGAGAAGCUUGCUUCUCUGAUGUUAGCGGCGGACGGGUGAGUAACACGUGGAUAACCUACCUAUAAGACUGGGAUAACUUCGGGAAACCGGAGCUAAUACCGGAUAAUAUUUUGAACCGCAUGGUUCAAAAGUAAAAGACGGUCUUGCUGUCACUUAUAGAUGGAUCCGCGCUGCAUUAGCUAGUUGGUAAGGUAACGGCUUACCAAGGCAACGAUGCAUAGCCGACCUGAGAGGGUGAUCGGCCACACUGGAACUGAGACACGGUCCAGACUCCUACGGGAGGCAGCAGUAGGGAAUCUUCCGCAAUGGGCGAAAGCCUGACGGAGCAACGCCGCGUGAGUGAUGAAGGUCUUCGGAUCGUAAAACUCUGUUAUUAGGGAAGAAUAUAUGUGUAAGUAACUGUGCACAUCUUGACGGUACCUAAUCAGAAAGCCACGGCUAACUACGUGCCAGCAGCCGCGGUAAUACGUAGGUGGCAAGCGUUAUCCGGAAUUAUUGGGCGUAAGCGCGCGUAGGCGGUUUUUUAAGUCUGAUGUGAAAGCCCACGGCUCAACCGUGGAGGGUCAUUGGAAACUGGAAAACUUGAGUGCAGAAGAGGAAAGUGGAAUUCCAUGUGUAGCGGUGAAAUGCGCAGAGAUAUGGAGGAACACCAGUGGCGAAGGCGACUUUCUGGUCUGUAACUGACGCUGAUGUGCGAAAGCGUGGGGAUCAAACAGGAUUAGAUACCCUGGUAGUCCACGCCGUAAACGAUGAGUGCUAAGUGUUAGGGGGUUUCCGCCCCUUAGUGCUGCAGCUAACGCAUUAAGCACUCCGCCUGGGGAGUACGACCGCAAGGUUGAAACUCAAAGGAAUUGACGGGGACCCGCACAAGCGGUGGAGCAUGUGGUUUAAUUCGAAGCAACGCGAAGAACCUUACCAAAUCUUGACAUCCUUUGACAACUCUAGAGAUAGAGCCUUCCCCUUCGGGGGACAAAGUGACAGGUGGUGCAUGGUUGUCGUCAGCUCGUGUCGUGAGAUGUUGGGUUAAGUCCCGCAACGAGCGCAACCCUUAAGCUUAGUUGCCAUCAUUAAGUUGGGCACUCUAAGUUGACUGCCGGUGACAAACCGGAGGAAGGUGGGGAUGACGUCAAAUCAUCAUGCCCCUUAUGAUUUGGGCUACACACGUGCUACAAUGGACAAUACAAAGGGCAGCGAAACCGCGAGGUCAAGCAAAUCCCAUAAAGUUGUUCUCAGUUCGGAUUGUAGUCUGCAACUCGACUACAUGAAGCUGGAAUCGCUAGUAAUCGUAGAUCAGCAUGCUACGGUGAAUACGUUCCCGGGUCU
This 1371-nucleotide ribosomal RNA is filed under the name uncultured bacterium. RNAcentral describes it as "bacterial SSU rRNA". It matches the Rfam family "Bacterial small subunit ribosomal RNA", at positions 28 to 1381 of the family's 1533-position model. The record is from RNAcentral.